Molecule: ribosomal RNA, 253 nt
Filed under: uncultured bacterium
Lineage: Bacteria
Description: partial 16S ribosomal RNA
Rfam family: Bacterial small subunit ribosomal RNA
Source: RNAcentral
UACGGAGGAUGCGAGCGUUAUCCGGAUUUAUUGGGUUUAAAGGGAGCGCAGACGGGAUGUUAAGUCAGCUGUGAAAGUUUGGGGCUCAACCUUAAAAUUGCAGUUGAUACUGGCAUUCUUGAGUGCGGUUGAGGCAGGCGGAAUUCGUGGUGUAGCGGUGAAAUGCUUAGAUAUCACGAAGAACUCCUAUUGCGAAGGCAGCCUGCUAAGCCGUAACUGACGUUCAUGCUCGAAAGUGUGGGUAUCAAACAGG